UCCUACGGGAGGCAGCAGUAGGGAAUCUUCCGCAAUGGGCGAAAGCCUGACGGAGCAACGCCGCGUGAGUGAUGAAGGUCUUCGGAUCGUAAAACUCUGUUAUUAGGGAAGAACAAACGUGUAAGUAACUGUGCACGUCUUGACGGUACCUAAUCAGAAAGCCACGGCUAACUACGUGCCAGCAGCCGCGUA
This 192-nucleotide ribosomal RNA is filed under the name uncultured bacterium. Its description in RNAcentral is "partial 16S ribosomal RNA". It matches the Rfam family "Bacterial small subunit ribosomal RNA", at positions 337 to 521 of the family's 1533-position model. The record is from RNAcentral.